Non-coding RNA from Phoenix dactylifera (date palm), 578 nucleotides. The record is from RefSeq and is a predicted model, not a curated record. Lineage: Eukaryota; Viridiplantae; Streptophyta; Magnoliopsida; Arecales; Arecaceae.
GCGGAUGGGCCGGCCCGAAAAGACCGGGCCCAUCCCCCUUAUCACGAUCGUGCCUAGGGCACGAUCGUGGAAGAAGGGGAAACGCAGAGAGAGGGGGGCGGCGGCAUUAGACGGGAUCAAUCGCCGGAGGAGGCAGAUCGUCGGGGGAGGCGACUCGCCGGAGGGGAUCGAGCGCCGGAGAGGGAGAUCCGGCCGGCCGCGGAGGGGGGGAAAGCCUUCCUCUUUCCUUCGGUGAAGACCCUCCAUUUCUCCGCCGAUUUCUCGCCGGAAAGGCCGCCGGAGCACCCAUCGGACCGAGGGGAGGAGACAGUGGUGCCAGGAGAUUUUGAUCAGGGGACUCAGCACCCCAGCGAGUAGGUUGUGACUCGGAUCCGUGUUUGAGUCAGUCGACAAUCUUAAGGCACUGGAUUCGUAGAAUCUGUCGGAUGGGACAAGAAGUGAGCUCGAUCUGAAGUCAGACUGCUAGAUAGUUAGAAGUCAAUUUAUCUUUUAGUUAUGGACAUUUGAAUUUAUGUAAUCAUUCAGUACAUUGUAGCUGGAUUUGAUUGAAUUACAUUAAUCUUUGGUUUUGGCAUUUA